GAGUUGCGAACGGGUGAGUAACGCGUAGGUAACCUACCUAUUAGAGGGGGAUAACUAUUGGAAACGAUAGCUAAUACCGCAUAACAGUAUGUAACACAUGUUAGAUGCUUGAAAGAUGCAAUUGCAUCGCUAGUAGAUGGACCUGCGUUGUAUUAGCUAGUAGGUAGGGUAAUGGCCUACCUAGGCAACGAUACAUAGCCGACCUGAGAGGGUGAUCGGCCACACUGGGACUGAGACACGGCCCAGACUCCUACGGGAGGCAGCAGUAGGGAAUCUUCGGCAAUGGGGGGAACCCUGACCGAGCAACGCCGCGUGAGUGAAGAAGGUUUUCGGAUCGUAAAGCUCUGUUGUUAAGGAAGAACGAGUGUGAGAAUGGAAAGUUCAUGCUGUGACGGUACUUAACCAGAAGGGGACGGCUAACUACGUGCCAGCAGCCGCGGUAAUACGUAGGUCCCGAGCGUUGUCCGGAUUUAUUGGGCGUAAAGCGAGCGCAGGCGGUUAGAAAAGUCUGAAGUGAAAGGCAGUGGCUCAACCAUUGUAGGCUUUGGAA
This 550-nucleotide ribosomal RNA is filed under the name uncultured bacterium. RNAcentral's name for it is "bacterial SSU rRNA". It matches the Rfam family "Bacterial small subunit ribosomal RNA", at positions 93 to 631 of the family's 1533-position model. The record is from RNAcentral.